RNAcentral lists this ribosomal RNA (442 nucleotides) under uncultured Eubacteriales bacterium. RNAcentral's name for it is "uncultured Clostridiales bacterium partial 16S ribosomal RNA". The record is from RNAcentral. Lineage: Bacteria; Bacillati; Bacillota; Clostridia; Eubacteriales.
GACUACCGGGGUAUCUAAUCCUGUUCGCUCCCCACGCUUUCGUGCCUCAGUGUCAGUUACAGUCCAGUAAGUCGCCUUCGCCACUGGUGUUCCUCCUAAUAUCUACGAAUUUCACCUCUACACUAGGAAUUCCACUUACCUCUCCUGCACUCAAGCUAAUCAGUUCCAAAGGCUUACAUUGGUUGAGCCAAUGCCUUUCACCUCUGGCUUGAUCAGCCACCUACGCACCCUUUACGCCCAGUGAUUCCGGAUAACGCUUGCCCCCUACGUAUUACCGCGGCUGCUGGCACGUAGUUAGCCGGGGCUUCCUCCUAUGGUACCGUCAUUUUUUUCUUCCCAUAGGACAGAGUUUUACGACCCGAAGGCCUUCAUCACUCACGCGGCGUUGCUGCAUCAGGCUUGCGCCCAUUGUGCAAUAUUCCCCACUGCAGCCCCCCGUAGG